UGCCACAGCCAUAUGACCCUGCAGCCCAAGACUGUGUAUACUAAAGCUAAGCUAGGCUGAGCCUGGUCAGUACCUGGAUGGGAGACCACAUGGAAAAACUAGGUUGCUGUUGCAA
Ribosomal RNA from Danio rerio (zebrafish), 115 nucleotides. The record is from Ensembl. Lineage: Eukaryota; Metazoa; Chordata; Actinopteri; Cypriniformes; Danionidae.